UUCGGAUUAGUGGCGAACGGGUGAGUAACACGUGACCAUUCUGCCCUUGAUUUUGGGAUAAGCGUUGGAAACGACGUUUAAUCCCGGAUACGACCUUGGAAGGCAUUUUCCUUGGUGGAAAGAAUUUUGGUCAGGGAUGAGCUCGCGGCCUAUCAGCUAGUUGGUGAGGUAAUGGCUCACCAAGGCGACGACGGGUAGCCGGCCUGAGAGGGUGACCGGCCACACUGGGACUGAGACACGGCCCAGACUCCUACGGGAGGCAGCAGUGGGGAAUAUUGCACAAUGGGCGAAAGCCUGAUGCAGCAACGCCGCGUGAGGGACGACGGCCUUCGGGUUGUAAACCUCUUUUAGUAGGGAAGAAGCGAAAGUGACGGUACCUGCAGAAAAAGCACCGGCUAACUACGUGCCAGCAGCCGCGGUAAUACGUAGGGUGCAAGCGUUGUCCGGAAUUAUUGGGCGUAAAGAGCUCGUAGGCGGUUUGUCGCGUCUGCUGUGAAAACCCGCAGGCUCAACCUCGGGCCUGCAGUGGGUACGGGCAGACUAGAGUGCGGUAGGGGAGAUUGGAAUUCCUGGUGUAGCGGUGGAAUGCGCAGAUAUCAGGAGGAACACCAAUGGCGAAGGCAGAUCUCUGGGCCGUAACUGACGCUGAGGAGCGAAAGCAUGGGGAGCGAACAGGAUUAGAUACCCUGGUAGUCCAUGCCGUAAACGUUGGGAACUAGAUGUGGGGACCAUUCCACGGUCUCCGUGUCGCAGCUAACGCAUUAAGUUCCCCGCCUGGGGAGUACGGCCGCAAGGCUAAAACUCAAAGGAAUUGACGGGGGCCCGCACAAGCGGCGGAGCAUGCGGAUUAAUUCGAUGCAACGCGAAGAACCUUACCAAGGCUUGACAUAUAGAGGAAACGGCUGGAAACAGUCGCCCCGCAAGGUCUCUAUACAGGUGGUGCAUGGUUGUCGUCAGCUCGUGUCGUGAGAUGUUGGGUUAAGUCCCGCAACGAGCGCAACCCUCGUCCUAUGUUGCCAGCACGUAAUGGUGGGAACUCAUGGGAUACUGCCGGGGUCAACUCGGAGGAAGGUGGGGAUGACGUCAAAUCAUCAUGCCCCUUAUGUCUUGGGCUUCACGCAUGCUACAAUGGCCGGUACAAAGGGCUGCAAUACCGCAAGGUGGAGCGAAUCCCAAAAAGCCGGUCUCAGUUCGGAUUGAGGUCUGCAACUCGACCUCAUGAAGUCGGAGUCGCUAGUAAUCGCAGAUCAGCAACGCUGCGGUGAAUACGUUCCCGGGCCUUGCACACCCCGCCCGUCA
Molecule: ribosomal RNA, 1299 nt
Filed under: Cryobacterium psychrotolerans
Lineage: Bacteria; Bacillati; Actinomycetota; Actinomycetes; Micrococcales; Microbacteriaceae
Description: bacterial SSU rRNA
Rfam family: Bacterial small subunit ribosomal RNA
Source: RNAcentral